CCUUUCUGAUGCAGCUGAGACAGUAGAGAGGAGCCCUUGUCACUUCUAAAGUGCUGCUGGCUUUCUCCCCAGAGGGAUGUCAUGGGAAAAAGCUCGGCGGGACCCUGGAGAGAAACGGGGAUUCCCUUGUUAUAGAGGAUAUCCCUAGUGAUUUCGACGGCGAAAGACUUAAGGAGACGGGGGUCCUGGAGCAUGUUACAGCUGGCCAGGUGGGGAGUGAGCGAAGGCGGGUCGGCGGCAGGGGAGGUCCCGCUCACCUGUGAGAAACAGACCCAGCAGGGACAGGAGGAUUUCACCCACCUGGGCGAGGAUUAAGCAGAUGGACGGGGGUAUGAGUGGUGAAAGGAGGAGAGAUCCAAGACCCAGGAGAAGAUUGCCAGAGAGGCGGCAGGGGUCGCCGGCAAGGGAAAGGAGACGGUCGGGCAGGCAUGGAGCUGCAAGGGAGUCGGGAGCAGAAACAGCGCACAGGACUCCAGCAGAGGCGCCAAGAGAUUUUCAAGUUUGAUGAAUUCACAAAAGAAUUUGUAGUUAGUGUAUUUUUUAAAAUAAAUAUCUUUACAUACUA
This is a long non-coding RNA of Bombina bombina (fire-bellied toad), 565 nucleotides long. RefSeq lists it as uncharacterized. Lineage: Eukaryota; Metazoa; Chordata; Amphibia; Anura; Bombinatoridae. The transcript has 4 exons. The record is from RefSeq and is a predicted model, not a curated record.